RNAcentral lists this ribosomal RNA (486 nucleotides) under uncultured bacterium. RNAcentral's name for it is "partial 16S ribosomal RNA". It matches the Rfam family "Bacterial small subunit ribosomal RNA", at positions 28 to 507 of the family's 1533-position model. The record is from RNAcentral.
GACGAACGCUGGCGGCGUGCUUAACACAUGCAAGUCGAACGCUGAAGCCCUGGCUUUUGUUGGGUUGGCUGAGUGGCGAACGGGUGAGUAACACGUGAGUAACCUGCCCUCUUCUUUGGGAUAACGCCCGGAAACGGGUGCUAAUACUGGAUAUUCACUGGCCUUCGCAUGGGGGUUGGUGGAAAGGUUUGUUCUGGUGGGGGAUGGGCUCGCGGCCUAUCAGCUUGUUGGUGGGGUGAUGGCCUACCAAGGCUUUGACGGGUAGCCGGCCUGAGAGGGUGACCGGUCACAUUGGGACUGAGAUACGGCCCAGACUCCUACGGGAGGCAGCAGUGGGGAAUAGUGCACAAUGGGCGAAAGCCUGAUGCAGCGACGCCGCGUGAGGGAUGGAGGCCUUCGGGUUGUAAACCUCUUUCGCUCAUGGUCAAGCCGCAACUGUGGGUUGUGGUGAGGGUAGUGGGUAAAGAAGCGCCGGCUAACUACGUG